GGCCCCAUAGCUCAGUUGGUUAGAGCGUCGUGCUAAUAACGCGAAGGUCGUCAGUUCGAUCCUGGCUGGGGCCA
This is a transfer RNA of Fonticula alba, 74 nucleotides long. It matches the Rfam family "tRNA". Rfam says of the family: Transfer RNA (tRNA) molecules are approximately 80 nucleotides in length. Their secondary structure includes four short double-helical elements and three loops (D, anti-codon, and T loops). NCBI's taxonomy places the organism in Eukaryota, Rotosphaerida, Fonticulaceae. The record is from Rfam.